AUUCCAGCUCCAAUAGCGUAUAUUAAUGUUGUUGCAGUUAAAAAGCUCGUAGUUGGAUUUCUGGUGGGAGCGUCCGGUCCGCCGUAAGGUGUGUACUUGGUUGUCUCCUGUCAUCCUUGUGGGAACUGCUCUGGCAUUAAGUUGUCGGGGUUAGGGAACACAUCGUUUACUGUGAAAAAAUUAGAGUGUUUAAAGCAGGCUUAUGCCGUUGAAUACAUUAGCAUGGAAUAAUAAGAUAGGACUUUGGCGUCUAUUUUGUUGGUUUGCACACCAAGGUAAUGAUUAAUAGGGAUAGUUGGGGGUAUUCGUAUUUAAUUGUCAGAGGUGAAAUUCUUGGAUUUAUGAAAGACGAACUUCUGCGAAAGCAUUUACCAAAGAUGUUUUCAUUA
Molecule: ribosomal RNA, 389 nt
Filed under: Stramenopiles sp. MAST-1C
Lineage: Eukaryota
Description: partial small subunit ribosomal RNA
Rfam family: Eukaryotic small subunit ribosomal RNA
Source: RNAcentral